This 497-nucleotide ribosomal RNA is filed under the name uncultured bacterium. Its description in RNAcentral is "partial 16S ribosomal RNA". It matches the Rfam family "Bacterial small subunit ribosomal RNA", at positions 28 to 507 of the family's 1533-position model. The record is from RNAcentral.
GAUGAACGCUGGCGGCGUGCCUAAUACAUGCAAGUCGAGCGAACAGAUGAGGAGCUUGCUCCUCUGACGUUAGCGGCGGACGGGUGAGUAACACGUGGAUAACCUACCUAUAAGACUGGGAUAACUUCGGGAAACCGGAGCUAAUACCGGAUAAUAUAUUGAACCGCAUGGUUCAAUAGUGAAAGACGGUUUUGCUGUCACUUAUAGAUGGAUCCGCGCCGCAUUAGCUAGUUGGUAAGGUAACGGCUUACCAAGGCAACGAUGCGUAGCCGACCUGAGAGGGUGAUCGGCCACACUGGAACGGAGACACGGUCCAUACGCCUACGGGAGGCAGCAGUAGGGAAUCUGCCGCAAUGGGCGAAAGCUUGACGGAGCAACGCCGCGUGAGUGAUGAAGGUCUUCGGAGCGUAAAACUCUGUUAUUAGGGAAGAACAAAUGUGUAAGUAACUAUGCACGUCUUGACGGUACCUAAUCAGAAAGCCACGGCUAACUACGUG